RNAcentral lists this ribosomal RNA (497 nucleotides) under uncultured bacterium. Its description in RNAcentral is "partial 16S ribosomal RNA". It matches the Rfam family "Bacterial small subunit ribosomal RNA", at positions 28 to 507 of the family's 1533-position model. The record is from RNAcentral.
GAUGAACGCUGGCGGCGUGCCUAAUACAUGCAAGUCGAGCGAACAGAUGAGGAGCUUGCUCCUCUGACGUUAGCGGCGGACGGGUGAGUAACACGUGGAUAACCUACCUAUAAGACUGGGAUAACUUCGGGAAACCGGAGCUAAUACCGGAUAAUAUAUUGAACCGCAUGGUUCAAUAGUGAAAGACGGUUUUGCUGUCACUUAUAGAUGGAUCCGCGCCGCAUUAGCUAGUUGGUAAGGUAACGGCUUACCAAGGCAACGAUGCGUAGCCGACCUGAGAGGGUGAUCGGCCACACUGGAACUGAGACACGGUCCCGACUCCUACGGGAGGCAGCAGUAGGGAAUCUUCCGCAAUGGGCGAAAGCCUGACGGAGCAACGCCGCGUGAGUGAUGAAGGUCUUCGGAUCGUAAAACUCUGUUAUUAGGGAAGAACAAAUGUGUAAGUAACUAUGCACGUCUUGACGGUACCUAAUCAGAAAGCCACGGCUAACUACGUG